GACGAACGCUGGCGGCACGCUUAACACAUGCAAGUCGAACGAGAGAGGAGAAGCUUGCUUUUCUGAUCUAGUGGCGGACGGGUGAGUAACACGUGAGCAAUCUGCCUUUCAGAGGGGGAUACCGAUUGGAAACGAUCGUUAAUACCGCAUAACAUAAUUGAACCGCAUGAUUUGAUUAUCAAAGAUUUAUCGCUGAAAGAUGAGCUCGCGUCUGAUUAGCUAGUUGGUAAGGUAACGGCUUACCAAGGCGACGAUCAGUAGCCGGACUGAGAGGUUGAUCGGCCACAUUGGGACUGAGACACGGCCCAGACUCCUACGGGAGGCAGCAGUGGGGAAUAUUGCACAAUGGAGGAAACUCUGAUGCAGCGAUGCCGCGUGAGGGAAGAAGGUUUUAGGAUUGUAAACCUCUGUCUUCAGGGACGAAAAAAGACGGUACCUGAGGAGGAAGCUCCGGCUAACUACGUG
This 465-nucleotide ribosomal RNA is filed under the name uncultured bacterium. Its description in RNAcentral is "partial 16S ribosomal RNA". It matches the Rfam family "Bacterial small subunit ribosomal RNA", at positions 28 to 507 of the family's 1533-position model. The record is from RNAcentral.